Molecule: long non-coding RNA, 281 nt
Organism: Dipodomys spectabilis (banner-tailed kangaroo rat)
Lineage: Eukaryota; Metazoa; Chordata; Mammalia; Rodentia; Heteromyidae
Exons: 2
Source: RefSeq, a predicted model, not a curated record
UAGGCUACAUUUUUUAGGAGGUAGGAAACAAAUUACAAAACUCUACCCUUUGGUUAACCUCCUCCUCCUAUCCCUUACUUUGGGCUUUGACCUUGGAUUUCUACAUUUGUCAUUACCCAUUCUCUCAUUAAAGCUAUUAGUUCUACUACUACUCAUUUACCUAAAUUUAUACCUGGAGCUGCAAAGAAAAAUGGUUUUAAGAAUUUUGCUUUUAAGUCACUAAAUGAACCAUAUACUCAGGUAUCAACUGAGAAUGUUUUGCACACCUCUAGUCAACAAAA